RNAcentral lists this ribosomal RNA (567 nucleotides) under uncultured bacterium. RNAcentral describes it as "bacterial SSU rRNA". It matches the Rfam family "Bacterial small subunit ribosomal RNA", at positions 336 to 916 of the family's 1533-position model. The record is from RNAcentral.
CUCCUACGGGAGGCAGCAGGAGGGAAUAUUGCGCAAUGGGCGAAAGCCUGACGCAGCAACGCCGCGUGAGGGAUGACGGCCUUCGGGUUGUAAACCUCUUUCAGUGGGGACGAAAUUGACGGUACCCACAGAAGAAGCACCGGCCAACUACGUGCCAGCAGCCGCGGUAAUACGUAGGGUGCAAGCAUUGUCCGGAUUUAUUGGGCGUAAAGAGCUCGUAGGCGGCUUAACAAGUCGGUCGUGAAAUACCGAGGCUCAACCUCGGGGAGUCGGUCGAAACUGUUAUGGCUAGAGUACGGUAGAGGAGAGUGGAAUUCCCGGUGUAGCGGUGGAAUGCGCAGAUAUCGGGAGGAACACCAGUAGCGAAGGCGGCUCUCUGGGCCGUUACUGACGCUGAGGAGCGAAAGCGUGGGGAGCAAACAGGAUUAGAUACCCUGGUAGUCCACGCUGUAAACGUUGGGAACUAGGUGUUGCGGUCUGAUCAAUGACUGCGGUGCCGAAGCUAACGCAUUAAGUUCCCCGCCUGGGGAGUACGGCCGCAAGGCUAAAACUCAAAGGAAUUGACGG